This 525-nucleotide transfer RNA is filed under the name uncultured Bartonella sp. RNAcentral describes it as "partial 16S-23S ribosomal RNA intergenic spacer". The stretch from base 156 to 229 matches the Rfam family "tRNA". The record is from RNAcentral. Lineage: Bacteria; Pseudomonadati; Pseudomonadota; Alphaproteobacteria; Hyphomicrobiales; Bartonellaceae.
GCUUUCUAAGAAAACACCCUUUAAGAAAAAGUUUUUUAUAAAAUUAAAGAAAAACUUUCCUGUGAGAGUGUAUUUUUUACUAAGAGUUUGCUCUUUUAUUUGAGAGUUUGCUUUUUUAAGAGUUUUCCGGGGAAGGUUUUCCGGUUUAUCCCGGAGGGCUUGUAGCUCAGUUGGUUAGAGCGCGCGCUUGAUAAGCGUGAGGUCGGAGGUUCAAGUCCUCCCAGGCCCACCAAUUUAGAAUUACCAAUUGGAAUUGCUUAACCCACUGUUGAGAAACUCCCUCCUUUAUGAGAGAAAUCUCUAAAAACAAGAGAAAGCUCUUGAGAGCCUCAAAUGAUAGAUUUGAAAUUCUCAAUAAGAUUUAAACCCAUCAGAUCUAAAUCAAUAAGGUUUAAAAGUGUUGGUAAAAUGUUCAUAAUAUAUUUUAUGAAGAUAUUGAGAGAUUUUUCGGACACUAUUGAUAAAUCUUGGCAAGAAAAUUGAUAAAUAUCGGGAAAUUGAUAAAAAUCGGUUUAGGGGUUAGCG